GCGCCCGUAGCUCAGCUGGAUAGAGCACCAGACUACGAAUCUGGGGGUCAGGAGUUCGAAUCUCUUCGGGUGCGCCA
RNAcentral lists this transfer RNA (77 nucleotides) under Brevundimonas sp. RNAcentral's name for it is "tRNA-Arg". It matches the Rfam family "tRNA". Rfam says of the family: Transfer RNA (tRNA) molecules are approximately 80 nucleotides in length. Their secondary structure includes four short double-helical elements and three loops (D, anti-codon, and T loops). Lineage: Bacteria; Pseudomonadati; Pseudomonadota; Alphaproteobacteria; Caulobacterales; Caulobacteraceae. The record is from RNAcentral. RNAcentral also lists the same sequence under 4 other names.